CAGUCGCCGCGGUAAUACGUAGGGUGCGAGCGUUAAUCGGAAUUACUGGGCGUAAAGCGUGCGCAGGCGGUUUGUUAAGACAGAUGUGAAAUCCCCGGGCUCAACCUGGGAACUGCAUUUGUGACUGGCAAGCUAGAGUAUGGCAGAGGGUGGUGGAAUUCCGCGUGUAGCAGUGAAAUGCGUAGAUAUGCGGAGGAACACCGAUGGCGAAGGCAGCCCCCUGGGCCAAUACUGACGCUCAUGCACGAAAGCGUGGGGAGCAAACAGGAUUAGAUACCCCAGUAGUCCCUGUCUCUUAUAC
RNAcentral lists this ribosomal RNA (301 nucleotides) under uncultured bacterium. RNAcentral's name for it is "partial 16S ribosomal RNA". It matches the Rfam family "Bacterial small subunit ribosomal RNA", at positions 509 to 807 of the family's 1533-position model. The record is from RNAcentral.